AUUGAACGCUGGCGGCAGGCUUAACACAUGCAAGUCGAACGCAUCCUUCGGGGUGAGUGGCAGACGGGUGAGUAACGCGUGGGAACGUGCCCUUCAGUUCGGGAUAACCCAGGGAAACUUGGGCUAAUACCGGAUACGUGCGAGAGCAGAAAGAUUUAUCGCUGAAGGAUCGGCCCGCGUCUGAUUAGCUAGUUGGUGGGGUGAUGGCCCACCAAGGCGACGAUCAGUAGCUGGUCUGAGAGGAUGAUCAGCCACAUUGGGACUGAGACACGGCCCAAACUCCUACGGGAGGCAGCAGUGGGGAAUAUUGGACAAUGGGCGCAAGCCUGAUCCAGCCAUGCCGCGUGAGUGAUGAAGGCCUUAGGGUUGUAAAGCUCUUUCGUCCGGGACGAUAAUGACGGUACCGGAAGAAGAAGCCCCGGCUAACUUCGUGCCAGCAGCCGCCGUAA
This 449-nucleotide ribosomal RNA is filed under the name uncultured bacterium. RNAcentral's name for it is "partial 16S ribosomal RNA". It matches the Rfam family "Bacterial small subunit ribosomal RNA", at positions 30 to 523 of the family's 1533-position model. The record is from RNAcentral.